GAGUUUGAUCAUGGCUCAGAUUGAACGCUGGCGGCAUGCCUUACACAUGCAAGUCGAACGGCAGCACGGGAGCUUGCUCCUGGUGGCGAGUGGCGAACGGGUGAGUAAUGCAUCGGAACGUAUCCUGGAGUGGGGGAUAACGUAGCGAAAGUUACGCUAAUACCGCAUAUUCUGUGAGCAGGAAAGCGGGGGACCCUCGGGCCUCGCGCUCUUGGAGCGGCCGAUGUCGGAUUAGCUAGUUGGUGAGGUAAAGGCUCACCAAGGCGACGAUCCGUAGCAGGUCUGAGAGGAUGAUCUGCCACACUGGAACUGAGACACGGUCCAGACUCCUACGGGAGGCAGCAGUGGGGAAUUUUGGACAAUGGGGGCAACCCUGAUCCAGCCAUGCCGCGUGAGUGAAGAAGGCCUCGGUUGUAAGUAC
Molecule: ribosomal RNA, 421 nt
Filed under: bacterium enrichment culture clone ALO1_GLFRUDD03GKA07
Lineage: Bacteria
Description: bacterial SSU rRNA
Rfam family: Bacterial small subunit ribosomal RNA
Source: RNAcentral